RNAcentral lists this ribosomal RNA (253 nucleotides) under uncultured bacterium. RNAcentral's name for it is "partial 16S ribosomal RNA". It matches the Rfam family "Bacterial small subunit ribosomal RNA", at positions 524 to 776 of the family's 1533-position model. The record is from RNAcentral.
GACAGAGGGUGCAAACGUUACUCGGAAUUACUGGGCGUAAAGCGCGUGUAGGCGGGCCGAUAAGUCAGAUGUGAAAUCCCUGAGCUCAACUCAGGAACUGCAUUUGAAACUGCCGGUCUAGAGUGGUGGAGAGGGAAGCGGAAUUCCUGGUGUAGAGGUGAAAUUCGUAGAUAUCAGGAGGAACACCGGUGGCGAAGGCGACUUCCUGGACACCAACUGACGCUGAGACGCGAAAGCGUGGGGAGCAAACAGG